GACGAACGCUGGCGGCGUGCUUAACACAUGCAAGUCGAACGGAAAGGCCCUGCUUUUGUGGGGUGCUCGAGUGGCGAACGGGUGAGUAACACGUGAGUAACCUGCCCUUGACUUUGGGAUAACUUCAGGAAACUGGGGCUAAUACCGGAUAGGAGCUCCUGCUGCAUGGUGGGGGUUGGAAAGUUUCGGCGGUUGGGGAUGGACUCGCGGCUUAUCAGCUUGUUGGUGGGGUAGUUGCUUACCCAGGCUUUGAGGGGUAGCCGGCCGGAGAGGGGAACCGGCCCCGUGGACUCUGAGAGGCAGCAGAGACUAAUACGGGAGGAAGGGGUGGAGAAUGUUGCAGAGGGGGCGGGAGUGUGAUGAAGCAACGCCGCGUGGGAAAUAACGUAAUUCGGGAUGAAAGGCGGUUUCGUCUGACCCGGCGCGUGUGACGGGAUAAUGAGAAAAAAAACACGGUAAAUUCGCG
RNAcentral lists this ribosomal RNA (466 nucleotides) under uncultured bacterium. RNAcentral describes it as "partial 16S ribosomal RNA". It matches the Rfam family "Bacterial small subunit ribosomal RNA", at positions 28 to 507 of the family's 1533-position model. The record is from RNAcentral.